GGUUCAGGAUGAACGCUAGCGACAGGCUUAACACAUGCAAGUCGAGGGGCAGCAUAGAAGUAGCAAUACUUGGUGGCGACCGGCGCACGGGUGAGUAACGCGUAUGCAACCUACCUAUCAGAGGGGAAUAACCCGGCGAAAGUCGGACUAAUACCGCAUAAAACAGGGGCACCGCAUGGUGAUAUUUGUUAAAGAAAUUCGCUGAUAGAUGGGCAUGCGUUCCAUUAGGUAGUUGGUGAGGUAACGGCUCACCAAGCCGACGAUGGAUAGGGGAACUGAGAGGUUGGUCCCCCACACUGGUACUGAGACACGGACCAGACUCCUACGGGAGGCAGCAGUGAGGAAUAUUGGUCAAUGGGCGGGAGCCUGAACCAGCCAAGUCGCGUGAAGGAAAAGAAGGAUCUAUGGUUCGUAAACUUCUUUUGCAGGGGAAUAAAGUGCAGGACGUGUCCUGUUUUGUAUGUACCCUGAGAAUAAGGAUCGGCUAACUCCGUGCCAGCAGCUGC
Molecule: ribosomal RNA, 506 nt
Filed under: uncultured bacterium
Lineage: Bacteria
Description: bacterial SSU rRNA
Rfam family: Bacterial small subunit ribosomal RNA
Source: RNAcentral